This 468-nucleotide ribosomal RNA is filed under the name uncultured bacterium. Its description in RNAcentral is "partial 16S ribosomal RNA". It matches the Rfam family "Bacterial small subunit ribosomal RNA", at positions 28 to 507 of the family's 1533-position model. The record is from RNAcentral.
GACGAACGCUGGCGGCGUGCUUAACACAUGCAAGUCGAACGGAAAGGCCCUGCUUUUGUGGGGUGCUCGAGUGGCGAACGGGUGAGUAACACGUGAGUAACCUGCCCUUGACUUUGGGAUAACUUCAGGAAACUGGGGCUAAUACCGGAUAGGAGCUCCUGCUGCAUGGUGGGGGUUGGAAAGUUUCGGCGGUUGGGGAUGGACUCGCGGCUUAUCAGCUUGUUGGUGGGGUAGUGGCUUACCAAGGCUUUGACGGGUAGCCGGCCUGAGAGGGUGACCGGCCACAUUGGGACUGAGAUACGGCCCAGACUCCUACGGGAGGCAGCAGUGGGGAAUAUUGCACAAUGGGCGGAAGCCUGAUGCAGCAACGCCGCGUGCGGGAUGACGGCCUUCGGGUUGUAUACCGCUUUCGCCUGUGACGAAGCGUGAGUGACGGUAAUGGGUAAAGAAGCACCGGCUAACUACGUG